GACGAACGCUGGCGGCGUGCUUAACACAUGCAAGUCGAACGGAAAGGCCCUGCUUUUGUGGGGUGCUCGAGUGGCGAACGGGUGAGUAACACGUGAGUAACCUGCCCUUGACUUUGGGAUAACUUCAGGAAACUGGGGCUAAUACCGGAUAGGAGCUCCUGCUGCAUGGUGGGGGUUGGAAAGUUUCGGCGGUUGGGGAUGGACUCGCGGCUUAUCAGCUUGUUGGUGGGGUAGUGGCUUACCAAGGCUUUGACGGGUAGCCGGCCUGAGAGGGUGACCGGCCACAUUGGGACUGAGAUACGGCCCAGACCCCUACGGGAGGCAGCAGUGGGGAAUAUUGCACAAUGGGCGGAAGCCUGAUGCAGCAACGCCGCGUGCGGGAUGACGGCCUUCGGGUUGUAAACCGCUUUCGCCUGUGACGAAGCGUGAGUGACGGUAAUGGGUAAAGAAGCACCGGCUAACUACGUGCCAGCAGCCGCGGUGAUACGUAGGGUGCGAGCGUUGUCCGGAUUUAUUGGGCGUAAAGGGCUCGUAGGUGGUUGAUCGCGUCGGAAGUGUAAUCUUGGGGCUUAACCCUGAGCGUGCUUUCGAUACGGGUUGACUUGAGGAAGGUAGGGGAGAAUGGAAUUCCUGGUGGAGCGGUGGAAUGCGCAGAUAUCAGGAGGAACACCAGUGGCGAAGGCGGUUCUCUGGGCCUUUCCUGACGCUGAGGAGCGAAAGCGUGGGGAGCGAACAGGCUUAGAUACCCUGGUAGUCCACGCUGUAAACGGUGGGUACUAGGUGUGGGGUCCAUUCCACGGGUUCCGUGCCGUAGCUAACGCUUUAAGUACCCCGCCUGGGGAGUACGGCCGCAAGGCUAAAACUCAAAGGAAUUGACGGGGCCCCGCACAAGCGGCGGAGCAUGCGGAUUAAUUCGAUGCAACGCGUAGAACCUUACCUGGGUUUGACAUGGAUCGGGAGCGCUCAGAGAUGGGUGUGCCUCUUUUGGGGUCGGUUCACAGGUGGUGCAUGGCUGUCGUCAGCUCGUGUCGUGAGAUGUUGGGUUAAGUCCCGCAACGAGCGCAACCCUUGUUCACUGUUGCCAGCACGUUAUGGUGGGGACUCAGUGGAGACCGCCGGGGUCAACUCGGAGGAAGGUGGGGAUGACGUCAAGUCAUCAUGCCCCUUAUGUCCAGGGCUUCACGCAUGCUACAAUGGCUGGUACAGAGAGUGGCGAGCCUGUGAGGGUGAGCGAAUCUCGGAAAGCCGGUCUCAGUUCGGAUUGGGGUCUGCAACUCGACCUCAUGAAGUCGGAGUCGCUAGUAAUCGCAGAUCAGCAACGCUGCGGUGAAUACGUUCCCGGGGCU
This 1346-nucleotide ribosomal RNA is filed under the name uncultured bacterium. Its description in RNAcentral is "bacterial SSU rRNA". It matches the Rfam family "Bacterial small subunit ribosomal RNA", at positions 28 to 1381 of the family's 1533-position model. The record is from RNAcentral.